CCUACGGGAGGCAGCAGUGAGGAAUAUUGGUCAAUGGGCGAGAGCCUGAACCAGCCAAGUCGCGUGAGGGAGUACUGCCCUAUGGGUUGUAAACCUCUUUUGUCGGGGAGCAAAAGCCGGACGUGUCCGGCUGUGAGAGUACCCGAAGAAAAAGCAUCGGCUAACUCCGUGCCAGCAGCCGCGGUAAUACGGAGGAUGCGAGCGUUAUCCGGAUUUAUUGGGUUUAAAGGGUGCGCAGGCGGGUUUUUAAGUCAGCGGUAAAAUCGUGGGGCUCAACCCCAUCCAGCCGUUGAAACUGGGGAUCUAGAGUGUGCGAGAGGUAUGCGGAAGGCGUGGUGUAGCGGUGAAAUGCAUAGAUAUCACGCAGAACCCCGAUUGCGAAGGCAGCAUACCGGUGCACAACUGACGCUCAGGCACGAAAGCGUGGGUAUCGAACAGGAUUAGAUACCCGGGUAGUC
RNAcentral lists this ribosomal RNA (458 nucleotides) under uncultured bacterium. RNAcentral's name for it is "partial 16S ribosomal RNA". It matches the Rfam family "Bacterial small subunit ribosomal RNA", at positions 338 to 795 of the family's 1533-position model. The record is from RNAcentral.